UACGGAGGGUGCGAGCGUUAAUCGGAAUUACUGGGCGUAAAGGGCGCGUAGGCGGUGAAGUAAGUCGGGUGUGAAAGCCCCGGGCUCAACCUGGGAACUGCCUCCGAUACUGCUUCGCUAGAGUAUGGUAGAGGGAAGCGGAAUUCCGGGUGUAGCGGUGAAAUGCGUAGAUAUCCGGAGGAACACCAGUGGCGAAGGCGGCUUCCUGGACCAAUACUGACGCUGAGGCGCGAAAGCGUGGGGAUCAAACAGG
Molecule: ribosomal RNA, 253 nt
Filed under: uncultured bacterium
Lineage: Bacteria
Description: partial 16S ribosomal RNA
Rfam family: Bacterial small subunit ribosomal RNA
Source: RNAcentral